GAUGAACGCUAGCGGCAGGCUUAAUACAUGCAAGUCGAACGGGAUUUGAGUAGCAAUAUUCAAUGAGAGUGGCGCACGGGUGCGUAACGCGUAUGCAACCUACCUUUAACAGGGGGAUAGCCCGGAGAAAUCCGGAUUAAUACCCCAUAGAAUAUAAUUGUGGCCUCACAUUUAUAUUAAAGCUCCGGUGGUUAAAGAUGGGCAUGCGUGCCAUUAGCUAGUUGGUGAGGUAACGGCUCACCAAGGCGACGAUGGCUAGGGGUCCUGAGAGGGUUAUCCCCCACACUGGUACUGAGACACGGACCAGACUCCUACGGGAGGCAGCAGUAAGGAAUAUUGGGCAAUGGACGCAAGUCUGACCCAGCCAUGCCGCGUGCAGGAAGACGGCCUUAUGGGUUGUAAACUGCUUUUUANCAGGGAAUAAACCCUUGUUUGUAAACAAGGCUGAAGGUACCUGAAGAAUAAGCAUCGGCUAACUCCGUGCCAGCAGCCGCGGUAAAG
Molecule: ribosomal RNA, 501 nt
Filed under: uncultured bacterium
Lineage: Bacteria
Description: bacterial SSU rRNA
Rfam family: Bacterial small subunit ribosomal RNA
Source: RNAcentral